CAACCCUAACUCACACCCCCCACCCGGCCUCCCUCCCCUCUCUGGUUCUCCCCAAAUCUUCCCCACGCCACCUCUCUCUCCCCACGGUCGGCGGCCUGCAGGCACAAGCGGACAGCCGCCCUCCGCCUCCCCAGCUUGGAGCGAAUCCGCUGGAGGCUCCCCUUCCUCGAGCUGCAGCGAUCGGACGCCGGCCGACAGCUUCUUUCGCUCGCGCCGGGCGAAGCGGCCUGUCGGAGCUGCUCGGCCGGAUCCGGGAGAUGCCGGCCUGGCGGCGCCCCUCCUCCACGGCGAUGCAGCGGCGGCACCCCACCUUGAAUCCGAUGAGGUACUCCAACGACGACGAGAUCAGGGCCCAUGUGGAGUUACUUCAACACCUAGGGCCUCACUUUUGUUGUGGACAGUAGUGUCAGAGUCCUCCUGAGGUUAGGGAUGUUUUCAACCAAUGUGAAACAAGGAACAAAUCUUCCUAAUACUACAAAGAGUUUGAGGUGGAGAAGCAUGCAGGAGCAGAUCAUCUAGACAAACUUUUGUUUAGUAGGAUGAGUUGGAUACUUGUAAUAUGUGUGUUUGCUAACUUGUGGUUGUGACACAGUAUUUGUAAUUGUGAUAUUGUAUGUUGCUACUUGAGAUUUUGUUUAGUAUGUGAAAAUUGAGCAUUAAGGCCUAAAUGGAGUGGGCUUUGAAAAAAUAUUGGGUUUUGUUAA
Panicum virgatum (switchgrass) is the source of this 704-nucleotide long non-coding RNA. RefSeq lists it as uncharacterized. The transcript has 3 exons. The record is from RefSeq and is a predicted model, not a curated record. NCBI's taxonomy places the organism in Eukaryota, Viridiplantae, Streptophyta, Magnoliopsida, Poales, Poaceae.